RNAcentral lists this ribosomal RNA (390 nucleotides) under uncultured Cryptomonadales. RNAcentral's name for it is "partial small subunit ribosomal RNA". It matches the Rfam family "Eukaryotic small subunit ribosomal RNA", at positions 30 to 432 of the family's 1831-position model. The record is from RNAcentral. Lineage: Eukaryota; Cryptophyceae; Cryptomonadales.
GCUUGUCUCAAAGAUUAAGCCAUGCAUGUCUAAGUGUAAAUAAGUCUAUACUGUGAAACUGCGAAUGGCUCAUUAAAUCAGUUAUCGUUUAUUUGAUGAUCUCUUACUACUUGGAUAACCGUAGUAAUUCUAGAGCUAAUACAUGCACAAAGGCCCGACUCACGAAGGGCUGUAUUUAUUAGAUUUAAAGCCGACAUCUUUUGGUGAUUCAUAAUAACUUUUCGAACCUCAUGCCUUUAUGGUGGAGGUGAUUCAUUCAAAUUUCUGCCCUAUCAAUUGGCGAUGGUAGGAUAGAGGCCUACCAUGGUGUUAACGGGUGACGGGGGAUUAGGGUUCGAUUCCGGAGAGGCAGCCUGAGAAACGGCUACCACAUCCAAGGAAGGCAGCAGG